CCAUUCGGGGUACACGAGCGGCGAACGGGUGAGUAACACGUGGGUGAUCUGCCUCGCACUCUGGGAUAAGCCUGGGAAACUGGGUCUAAUACCGGAUAUGACCUUACAUCGCAUGGUGUUUGGUGGAAAGAUUUAUCGGUGCGAGAUGGGCCCGCGGCCUAUCAGCUUGUUGGUGGGGUAAUGGCCUACCAAGGCGACGACGGGUAGCCGGCCUGAGAGGGCGACCGGCCACACUGGGACUGAGACACGGCCCAGACUCCUACGGGAGGCAGCAGUGGGGAAUAUUGCACAAUGGGCGAAAGCCUGAUGCAGCGACGCCGCGUGAGGGAUGACGGCCUUCGGGUUGUAAACCUCUUUCGACAGGGACGAAGCGCAAGUGACGGUACCUGUAGAAGAAGCACCGGCCAACUACGUGCCAGCAGCCGCGGUAAUACGUAGGGUGCGAGCGUUGUCCGGAAUUACUGGGCGUAAAGAGCUUGUAGGCGGCUUGUCGCGUCGAUCGUGAAAACUUGGGGCUCAACCCCAAGCUUGCGGUCGAUACGGGCAGGCUUGAGUACUUCAGGGGAGACUGGAAUUCCUGGUGUAGCGGUGAAAUGCGCAGAUAUCAGGAGGAACACCGGUGGCGAAGGCGGGUCUCUGGGAAGUAACUGACGCUGAGAAGCGAAAGCGUGGGUAGCGAACAGGAUUAGAUACCCUGGUAGUCCACGCCGUAAACGGUGGGUACUAGGUGUGGGUUUCCUUCCACGGGAUCCGUGCCGUAGCUAACGCAUUAAGUACCCCGCCUGGGGAGUACGGCCGCAAGGCUAAAACUCAAAGGAAUUGACGGGGGCCCGCACAAGCGGCGGAGCAUGUGGAUUAAUUCGAUGCAACGCGAAGAACCUUACCUGGGUUUGACAUACACCGGAAACCUGCAGAGAUGUAGGCCCCCUUGUGGUCGGUGUACAGGUGGUGCAUGGCUGUCGUCAGCUCGUGUCGUGAGAUGUUGGGUUAAGUCCCGCAACGAGCGCAACCCUUAUCUUAUGUUGCCAGCGCGUAAUGGCGGGGACUCGUGAGAGACUGCCGGGGUCAACUCGGAGGAAGGUGGGGACGACGUCAAGUCAUCAUGCCCCUUAUGUCCAGGGCUUCACACAUGCUACAAUGGCCGGUACAGAGGGCUGCGAUACCGUGAGGUGGAGCGAAUCCCUUAAAGCCGGUCUCAGUUCGGAUCGGGGUCUGCAACUCGACCCCGUGAAGUUGGAGUCGCUAGUAAUCGCAGAUCAGCAACGCUGCGGUGAAUACGUUCCCGGGCCUUGUACACACCGCCCGUCACGUCAUGAAAGUCGGUAACACCCGAAGCCGGUGGC
RNAcentral lists this ribosomal RNA (1343 nucleotides) under Nocardia cyriacigeorgica. RNAcentral describes it as "bacterial SSU rRNA". It matches the Rfam family "Bacterial small subunit ribosomal RNA", at positions 77 to 1434 of the family's 1533-position model. Lineage: Bacteria; Bacillati; Actinomycetota; Actinomycetes; Mycobacteriales; Nocardiaceae. The record is from RNAcentral.